This 504-nucleotide ribosomal RNA is filed under the name uncultured bacterium. Its description in RNAcentral is "partial 16S ribosomal RNA". It matches the Rfam family "Bacterial small subunit ribosomal RNA", at positions 30 to 523 of the family's 1533-position model. The record is from RNAcentral.
AUUGAACGCUGGCGGCAGGCCUAACACAUGCAAGUCGAACGGUAGCACAGAGAGCUUGCUCUUGGGUGACGAGUGGCGGACGGGUGAGAAAUGUCUGGGAAACUGCCCGAUGGAGGGGGAUAACUACUGGAAACGGUAGCUAAUCCCGCGUAACGUCUUCGCACCAAAGUGGGGGACCUUCGGGCAUUACGCCAUCGGAUGGGCCCAAAUGGGAUUAGCUUGUAGGUGGGGUAACGGCUCACCUAGGCGACGAUCCCUAGCUGGCCUGAGAGGAGGACCAGCCACACUGGAACUGAGACACGGUCCAGACUCCUACGGGAGGCAGCAGUGGGGAAUAUUGCGCAAUGGGCGCAAGCCUGAUGCAGCCAUGCCGCGUGUAUGAAGAAGGCCUUCGGGCUGUAAAGUACUUUCAGUGGGGAGGAAGGCGAUGGAGUUAAUAGCUUCGUCGAUUGACGUUACCCGCAGAAGAAGCACCGGCUAACUCCGUGCCAGCAGCCGCCGUAA